This 253-nucleotide ribosomal RNA is filed under the name uncultured bacterium. Its description in RNAcentral is "partial 16S ribosomal RNA". It matches the Rfam family "Bacterial small subunit ribosomal RNA", at positions 524 to 776 of the family's 1533-position model. The record is from RNAcentral.
UACGAAGGGGGCGAGCGUUGUUCGGAUUUACUGGGCGUAAAGGGCGCGCAGGCGGCUAUCCAAGUCAGGCGUGAAAGCCCCGGGCUUAACCUGGGAACUGCGUCUGGGACUGGGUGGCUAGAGUUCGGGAGAGGAGAGUGGAAUUCCCAGUGUAGAGGUGAAAUUCGUAGAUAUUGGGAAGAACACCGGUGGCGAAGGCGGCUCUCUGGACCGAGACUGACGCUGAGGCGCGAAAGCGUGGGGAGCGAACAGG